This 460-nucleotide ribosomal RNA is filed under the name uncultured bacterium. RNAcentral's name for it is "SSU rRNA". It matches the Rfam family "Bacterial small subunit ribosomal RNA", at positions 26 to 518 of the family's 1533-position model. The record is from RNAcentral.
AGAAUCAACGCUGGCGGCGUGCCUAACACAUGCAAGUCGAUCGAGAAAGUGGAGCAAUCCAUGAGUAAAGAGGCGCACGGGUGAGUAACACGUGACUAACCUACCUUCGAGUGGGGAAUAAACCUGGGGAAACCCGGGCUAAUACCGCAUAAUACCUACGGGUCAAAGGAGCAAUUCGCUUGAAGAGGGGGUCGCGGCAGAUUAGUUAGUUGGCGGGGUAAUGGCCCACCAAGACGAUGAUCUGUAUCCGGCCUGAGAGGGCGCACGGACACACUGGAACUGAAACACGGUCCAGACUCCUACGGGAGGCAGCAGUGGGAAUUUUGCGCAAUGGGGGAAACCCUGACGCAGCAACGCCGCGUGGAGGAUGAAGUCCCUUGGGACGUAAACUCCUUUCGACCGGGACGAUUAUGACGGUACCGGAUGAAGAAGCCCCGGCUAACUUCGUGCCAGCAGCCGC